Molecule: unclassified non-coding RNA, 343 nt
Filed under: soil metagenome
Description: partial contains 5.8S ribosomal RNA, internal transcribed spacer 2, and large subunit ribosomal RNA
Rfam family: 5.8S ribosomal RNA (bases 1-120)
Source: RNAcentral
GAUGAAGAACGCAGUGAAUUGCGAUAAGUAAUGUGAAUUGCAGAAUUCAGUGAAUCAUCGAAUCUUUGAACGCACAUUGCGCCCGCUAGUAUUCUGGCGGGCAUGCCUGUCCGAGCGUCAUUUCAACCCUCAAGCCCCCGGGCUUGGUGUUGGGGAUCGGCGAGCCUCCGCGCCCGCCGUCCCCUAAAUCUAGUGGCGGUCUCGCUGUAGCUUCCUCUGCGUAGUAGCACACCUCGCACUGGGAAACAGCGCGGCCACGCCGUUAAACCCCCAACUUCUGAACGUUUGACCUCGGAUCAGGUAGGAAUACCCGCUGAACUUAAGCAUAUCAAUAAGCGGAGGA